AGUGAACGCUGGCGGUAGGCCUAACACAUGCAAGUCGAACGGCAGCACAGUAAGAGCUUGCUCUUACGGGUGGCGAGUGGCGGACGGGUGAGGAAUACAUCGGAAUCUACUUUUUCGUGGGGGAUAACGUAGGGAAACUUACGCUAAUACCGCAUACGACCUACGGGUGAAAGCAGGGGAUCUUCGGACCUUGCGCGAUUGAAUGAGCCGAUGUCGGAUUAGCUAGUUGGCGGGGUAAAGGCCCACCAAGGCGACGAUCCGUAGCUGGUCUGAGAGGAUGAUCAGCCACACUGGAACUGAGACACGGUCCAGACUCCUACGGGAGGCAGCAGUGGGGAAUAUGGGACAAUGGGCGCAAGCCUGAUCCAGCCAUACCGCGUGGGUGAAGAAGGCCUUCGGGUUGUAAAGCCCUUUUGUUGGGAAAGAAAAGCAGCAGGUUAAUACCCCGCUGUUCUGACGGUACCCAAAGAAUAAGCACCGGCUAACUUC
RNAcentral lists this ribosomal RNA (489 nucleotides) under uncultured bacterium. Its description in RNAcentral is "partial 16S ribosomal RNA". It matches the Rfam family "Bacterial small subunit ribosomal RNA", at positions 29 to 504 of the family's 1533-position model. The record is from RNAcentral.